CCUACGGGUGGCAGCAGUGGGGAAUAUUGCACAAUGGGCGAAAGCCUGACGCAGCGACGCCGCGUGAGGGAUGAAGGUCUUCGGAUCGUAAAGCACUUUCAGCAGGGAAGAACGCUCACUGUGCUAUUCAGCAGUCAAUUGACGUUACCUGCAAAGGAAGCACCGGCUAACUCCGUGCCAGCAGCCGCGGUAAUACGGAGGGUGCGAGCGUUAAUCGGAAUUACUGGGCGUAAAGCGCACGUAGGCGGUCUGUCAAGUCAAGGGUGAAAUCCCCGGGCUCAACGUGGGAACUGCCUUUGAAACUGGCAAGCUAGAGUGUGGUAGAGGAUGGUAGAAUUCCAGGUGUAGGGGUGAAAUGCGUAGAGAUCUGGAGGAAUAUUAGUGGCGAAGGCGACCAUCUGGAAAAAAACUGACGCUGAGGAGCGAAAGCGUGGGGAGCAAACAGGAUUAGAUACCCGAGUAGUC
RNAcentral lists this ribosomal RNA (465 nucleotides) under uncultured bacterium. RNAcentral describes it as "partial 16S ribosomal RNA". It matches the Rfam family "Bacterial small subunit ribosomal RNA", at positions 338 to 795 of the family's 1533-position model. The record is from RNAcentral.